Molecule: ribosomal RNA, 440 nt
Filed under: uncultured bacterium
Lineage: Bacteria
Description: partial 16S ribosomal RNA
Source: RNAcentral
GACUACAGGGGUAUCUAAUCCUGUUUGCUACCCACGCUUUCGCUCCUCAGCGUCAGUUAUGUGCCAGAUAGUCGCCUUCGCCACUGAUGUUCCUCCAGAUAUCUACGCAUUUCACCGCUACACCAGGAAUUCCGCCUGCCCCUCCUGCACUCCAGCCACGCAGUUCCAAGAGCAGUCCCGGGGUUGGGCCCCGGGCUUUCACUCCUGGCUUGCAUCGCCGUCUGCGCCCCCUUUACACCCAGUAAAUCCGGAUAACGCUUGCCCCCUACGUAUUACCGCGGCUGCUGGCACGUAGUUAGCCGGGGCUUCUUCUUCAGGUACCGUCAUUUUCUUCCCUGCUGACAGGGCUUUACGCGCCGAGGCGCUUCUUCACCCACGCGGCGUCGCUGCAGCAGGGUUUCCCCCAUUGUGCAAUAUCCCCCACUGCUGCCCCCCGUAGG